RNAcentral lists this ribosomal RNA (460 nucleotides) under uncultured bacterium. Its description in RNAcentral is "partial 16S ribosomal RNA". It matches the Rfam family "Bacterial small subunit ribosomal RNA", at positions 338 to 795 of the family's 1533-position model. The record is from RNAcentral.
CCUACGGGAGGCAGCAGUGAGGAAUAUUGGUCAAUGGACGCAAGUCUGAACCAGCCAUGCCGCGUGCAGGAAGACGGCUCUAUGAGUUGUAAACUGCUUUUGUACGAGGGUAAACGCAGAUACGCGUAUCUGUCUGAAGGUAUCGUACGAAUAAGGAUCGGCUAACUCCGUGCCAGCAGCCGCGGUAAUACGGAGGAUUCAAGCGUUAUCCGGAUUUAUUGGGUUUAAAGGGUGCGUAGGCGGUCGGAUAAGUUAGAGGUGAAAUCCCGAGGCUCAACUUCGGAAUUGCCUCUGAUACUGUUCGGCGAGAGAGUAGUUGCGGUAGGCGGAAUGUAUGGUGUAGCGGUGAAAUGCUUAGAGAUCAUACAGAACACCGAUUGCGAAGGCAGCUUACCAAGCUACUUCUGACGUUGAGGCACGAAAGCGUGGGGAGCAAACAGGAUUAGAUACCCCAGUAGUC